GACGGAGGAUGCAAGUGUUGUCCGGAAUCACUGGGCGUAAAGCGUCUGUAGGUGGUCAAAUAAGUCAACUGUUAAAUCUUGAGGCUCAACCUCGAAAUCGCAGUCGAAACUAUUAGACUAGAGUAUAGUAGGGGUAAAGGGAAUUUCCAGUGGAGCGGUGAAAUGCGUAGAGAUUGGAAAGAACACCGAUGGCGAAGGCACUUUACUGGGCUAUUACUAACACUCAGAGACGAAAGCUAGGGUAGCAAAUGGG
RNAcentral lists this ribosomal RNA (253 nucleotides) under uncultured bacterium. RNAcentral's name for it is "partial 16S ribosomal RNA". It matches the Rfam family "Bacterial small subunit ribosomal RNA", at positions 524 to 776 of the family's 1533-position model. The record is from RNAcentral.